This is a long non-coding RNA of Danaus plexippus (monarch butterfly), 2183 nucleotides long. RefSeq lists it as uncharacterized. NCBI's taxonomy places the organism in Eukaryota, Metazoa, Arthropoda, Insecta, Lepidoptera, Nymphalidae. The transcript has 3 exons. The record is from RefSeq and is a predicted model, not a curated record.
CGGACUCCGUGCUCAGUGCUGAAAGCGAGUGACGUUCGUGCCGACCGUUGGACGAUAUUCGUUAACUGUGAAUCAGUGUGCUAAGUGAAAAACUGUGAUGAACCACUAUUUGUUGAUGGAAAUCCGCGUCGGCUGUCGUAAGAUUAAAAUAUAUUUCAAAUGAUACGUUCUCGAUUCCUCUCAACAGUCACUUAAAAUAUAAUAUAGAUAUAAGUCAUAAAUUACACUUAAAAUGAGGGUAGUCGAAGGCUAAAAUUCUGUCAUCACAAAAUAUUCCCACCCUCAGUGGAGACGGGUGAUGAGUUAAUAAAGUCGUGAUAGAGAUCUUUACGUUAGUAAUAAAUGGAACAAUGAGAUGUUAGUCGUUAUCGAAGGGCGCACGUCAUCGGAGCGUGACCCUGGUGGCUGGUUGCCGGUUGCUGGUUGCUGAUUGCUAACGACUGGUUGCUUACGGCAACACCCCGCUCACCCCCGCCUGUUCAUUGCCCUUAAUAUCUCUCCUGUUUUACACCGUUUUCUUAUCAUUCCAGACCGUUUAGACUCUUAGAAGAACUAUUACCACGUAAAAUAUUUUAUGUUAUUCAAAUAAUGUUAUUUAUUACUUAAAAAAACAAUACAUUUUUUUCCUUUUCGACAUGGAGGUUAAUGAAAACCUAUUAAAAUAUCUCUCUAUCUUAUAAAUAAUAUUCCAAACAACUCUUUACAGCUUCCGCUAGAGAAAGAACAUUUUUAUUAUAAUAAUUCUCUUACUAAAAAUAUUUCAUAACAUAUAUUUGAUGUGUUACUCGACAAACAUGUUAUAUUCUAUGAAAUUAAAUAGCAAAUAUGUAGAUCUGUCAUAAUUCUCAGAAUGUGUAAACGAUCCUGUCCAGGGACCUUAUUUAAUAUGAUAAUGUCGAUCAGGUGCUACGUCAGCGACACGUGUAAAUGACUCACAUGUUGCUGACGUAGGGUCGCCCUUCGCCCUCCGCCCUCCGGCCUCCAGCCGCCUCUGCCUCCGCUCCUGAUAUGUCAUAUCAGAGUGACGGUGACAUUUCGGCCGCGACGCCUACUGGCGUCUCCGCUUCCGUUAGCAGCGUGGGCGCACAUUUCAUAAGCACUUCCUCCCACCGACGGAUGAGUGGAGUCCCACGAGCCGUGCAACUAGCAUGUGAGACGGCCCCGAUAUGCAAAUAACAUUACUGUACCGGUCAGACGUCGGAGACGUUUAUCAUUGUAAAUAGCUCGCGCUCUGUCUGACUGUACUAUACUGUAGUGUACUGUAGUGUGGUACGAGUCGUCAGCGGCGGUUCCCAGCCCCACGAUGAGCCAAUAAGGGUCGCGCCACAAAAAGCGAUCAUUAUAAAGGUUGUAAAGACUGCACCGGCGCCGAGCCUUCCCAGAACCGGGGCCAUUCUUAUUUCGCGCUCCCGCCUUAUUCACGGGCCUUUUUUGUUCGGCUUUGGUAAUUUUUUUGAGACGCGGUGCCUGUGAGAGCUUCAAGGAAAUGGCUUAUUGGAUUUCGUAUAGCAGGCUCGCUUAUCUGAGAGGAGCGAUCGCAGCGGCCGGCCCUGGGACUCGGGAGCGCUCGGUGCAGUCGUGUACCGCUCCCACACCGUUACGUUAGCGAGCCGCAUUCCAUUGCACCUACAUGACAUCGCCUGCCUCUAUGACGUCACUCGGCAAUCAUAGACACCACGGGGAUUUUGGAUAGCUGCUUCAUGAUGUUUUUCACCAGGCCGGGGAGUGUUUUAGACCGUGACGUCACACGAGAUUACGCCUAGCAAGGAGCAAUGAGGAAUAUUUGGAAUGUGGAUACAACAUGCGAGCUGGAAGAUCUGCGACCGAGACGUAUAUGAAGAUACAGAGGAUUCAGAAGACAAAGGAAUUACGAAACUGGUUUUCAUAAUGAUUUGACAGAUUGUUCAUGUAUUCUGAGAUCAUUGUGAAAGCUAAUUUUGUUCCUGAGUUGAAUGAAAACUAUGAAGAAUUUUGGAACAUGUACACUUGAAGAACAACUUGGAGAUUUUAAAAGUAUCUUAGUAUUUAUUAAUAAAAAUAUGUAUAUUUUUCAAGUAAAUGUCUUAUUUAGAUUAUUAUUAUUUAUGUUAUGUUAAUUGUUGUUUGUAUUGAUAUGAAUAUAUAUAUAUGCAUAUAUUGUGAUUGAGUUAUUAAGAUAAAAAUAUAACAAAUUUUGUAAAAUG